Ornithodoros turicata is the source of this 316-nucleotide long non-coding RNA. RefSeq lists it as uncharacterized. The transcript is spliced from 3 exons. NCBI's taxonomy places the organism in Eukaryota, Metazoa, Arthropoda, Arachnida, Ixodida, Argasidae. The record is from RefSeq and is a predicted model, not a curated record.
UCUGUCCUACAGGAUUACUAGACAGUGCAAAGAAUACGUGCAACAACAAUUAUCAGAAGUUGCAAGACGCAUCCAAACUGCAUUGUUGUGUUAUGGAAUACAGCAAGACUUGUGUUCCGGAAAUACUCGAAAGACAAAGAUGCGAUGAGACGUUUCUUCUUGAGCGGUUCUUCAAGGACAUCAACGCUGACUGUGGAACAUCGAAGCCAGUCUGCGACGUUGCAUCAAAGUGCCCGAACAAAACGUUAUCACUUGCACAGACUGUCUGCGAAGAAAGCUUUAUGAGGGAACACGGCCUCGUCCUUCCCCCCGAAUA